GACGAACGCUGGCGGCGUGCUUAACACAUGCAAGUCGAACGGAAAGGCCCUGCUUUUGUGGGGUGCUCGAGUGGCGAACGGGUGAGUAACACGUGAGUAACCUGCCCUUCACUUUGGGAUAACUUCAGGAAACUGGGGCUAAUACCGGAUAGGAGCCCCUGCUGCAUGGUGGGGGUUGGAAAGUUUCGGCGGUUGGGGAUGGACUCGCGGCUUAUCAGCUUGUUGGUGGGGUAGUGGCUUACCAAGGCAUUGACGGGUAGCCGGCCUGGGAGGGUGACCGGCGACAUUGGGACUGAGGUAGGGCGCAGACUCCUAUGGGGGGCAACAGUGGGAAAUAUUGCACAAUGGGCGGAAGCCUGAUACAGCAACGCCGGGUGCGGAAUGACGGCCUUCGGGUUAUAAACCGCUUUCGCCUGUGACGAAGCGUGAGUGACGGUAAUGAAUGAAGAAGCACCGGCUAACUACGUG
RNAcentral lists this ribosomal RNA (468 nucleotides) under uncultured bacterium. RNAcentral describes it as "partial 16S ribosomal RNA". It matches the Rfam family "Bacterial small subunit ribosomal RNA", at positions 28 to 507 of the family's 1533-position model. The record is from RNAcentral.